RNAcentral lists this ribosomal RNA (253 nucleotides) under uncultured bacterium. RNAcentral's name for it is "partial 16S ribosomal RNA". It matches the Rfam family "Bacterial small subunit ribosomal RNA", at positions 524 to 776 of the family's 1533-position model. The record is from RNAcentral.
UAUGUAGGGGGCAAGCGUUGUCCGGAAUCAUUGGGCGUAAAGCGCGCGUAGGCGGCCCGGUAAGUCCGCUGUGAAAGUCCAGGGCUCAACCCUGGAAAGCCGGUGGAUACUGCCGGGCUAGAGUCCGGAAGAGGCGAGUGGAAUUCCUGGUGUAGCGGUGAAAUGCGCAGAUAUCAGGAGGAACACCGGUGGCGAAGGCGGCAUCCUGGACCGGUAUUGACGCUGAGGCGCGAAAGCUAGGGGAGCAAACGGG